RNAcentral lists this unclassified non-coding RNA (237 nucleotides) under Glomeraceae sp. RNAcentral's name for it is "partial contains 5.8S ribosomal RNA and internal transcribed spacer 2". The stretch from base 1 to 71 matches the Rfam family "5.8S ribosomal RNA", at positions 84 to 154 of the family's 154-position model. The record is from RNAcentral. Lineage: Eukaryota; Fungi; Glomeromycota; Glomeromycetes; Glomerales; Glomeraceae.
GUGAAUCAUCGAAUCUUUGAACGCAAAUUGCGCUUCCUGGCAUCCCGGGAAGUAUGCCUGUUUGAGGAUCAGUAUUAAUAAAAAAUCGGUGUAGUUACGAAUUGUGACGUUAACGGAGAUUGGACUAUCUUAACAUUUUUGGUUAAGAGGCUUAAAAUUGACCUAUUUUGAGCAUUUUUACACGUACAUAGAUUUGUUUUAUUCGUAUAUUCUUAAUGCCAAAAUCUGAUUAGAUGC